GAGUUUGAUCCUGGCUCAGAUUGAACGCUGGCGGCAGGCCUAACACAUGCAAGUCGAACGUGAUCCAGAGCUUGCUCUGGUGAAAGUGGCGCACGGGUGAGUAACGCGUGGAUAACCUACCCUGGUAUCCGGGAUAACAUUCCGAAAGGGGUGCUAAUACCGGAUAAGCCCACGGGCUCUUUGGAGCUUGCGGGAAAAGGUGGCCUCUAUUUAUAAGCUACUGUAUCAGGAUGGGUCCGCGUACCAUUAGCUAGUUGGCGGUGUAACGGACCACCAAGGCGACGAUGGUUAGCUGGUCUGAGAGGAUGAUCAGUCACACUGGAACUGAGACACGGUCCAGACUCCUACGGGAGGCAGCAGUGGGGAAUUUUGCGCAAUGGGGGAAACCCUGACGCAGCAACGCCGCGUGAGUGAUGAAGGCCUUUGGGUCGUAAAGCUCUGUCAGAGGGGAAGAAAUGAUAUAGUGCUAAUACCACUUUAUCUUGACGGUACCCUCAAAGGAAGCACCGGCUAACUCCGUGCCAGCAGCCGCGGUAAUAC
Molecule: ribosomal RNA, 540 nt
Filed under: uncultured Geobacteraceae bacterium
Lineage: Bacteria; Pseudomonadati; Thermodesulfobacteriota; Desulfuromonadia; Geobacterales; Geobacteraceae
Description: bacterial SSU rRNA
Rfam family: Bacterial small subunit ribosomal RNA
Source: RNAcentral